GCAGAGCACUCCUACGGGAGGCAGCAGUAGGGAAUCUUCGGCAAUGGACGGAAGUCUGACCGAGCAACGCCGCGUGAGUGAAGAAGGUUUUCGGAUCGUAAAGCUCUGUUGUUAGAGAAGAAUGAUGGUGGGAGUGGAAAAUCCACCAUGUGACGGUAACUAACCAGAAAGGGACGGCUAACUACGUGCCAGCAGCCGCGGUAAUACGUAGGUCCCGAGCGUUGUCCGGAUUUAUUGGGCGUAAAGCGAGCGCAGGCGGUUCUUUAAGUCUGAAGUUAAAGGCAGUGGCUCAACCAUUGUACGCUUUGGAAACUGGAGAACUUGAGUGCAGAAGGGGAGAGUGGAAUUCCAUGUGUAGCGGUGAAAUGCGUAGAUAUAUGGAGGAACACCGGUGGCGAAAGCGGCUCUCUGGUCUGUAACUGACGCUGAGGCUCGAAAGCGUGGGGAGCAAACAGGAUUAGAUACCCUGGUAG
Molecule: ribosomal RNA, 473 nt
Filed under: uncultured bacterium
Lineage: Bacteria
Description: bacterial SSU rRNA
Rfam family: Bacterial small subunit ribosomal RNA
Source: RNAcentral